UACGUAGGGUGCAAGCGUUAAUCGGAAUUACUGGGCGUAAAGCGUGCGCAGGCGGUUGUGCAAGACCGAUGUGGAAUCCCCGGGCUUAACCUGGGAAUGGCAUUGGUGACUGCACGGCUAGAGUGUGUCAGAGGGGGGUAGAAUUCCACGUGUAGCAGUGAAAUGCGUAGAGAUGUGGAGGAAUACCGAUGGCGAAGGCAGCCCCCUGGGAUAACACUGACGCUCAUGCACGAAAGCUGGGGGAGCAAACAGG
Molecule: ribosomal RNA, 253 nt
Filed under: uncultured bacterium
Lineage: Bacteria
Description: partial 16S ribosomal RNA
Rfam family: Bacterial small subunit ribosomal RNA
Source: RNAcentral